Molecule: long non-coding RNA, 1029 nt
Organism: Hevea brasiliensis (rubber tree)
Lineage: Eukaryota; Viridiplantae; Streptophyta; Magnoliopsida; Malpighiales; Euphorbiaceae
Exons: 3
Source: RefSeq, a predicted model, not a curated record
CACACACAUCGCGACAUUCCCAAGGAGAUUGCAGGCUUUACUUCUGGUGAUUAUAUCUCUCUAAAACUCUCUCCAUCUCUCUCUUUCUCUCUCACCAUUGCUCUUAAGUAACUACGAAUUCUUUUGCUACUUCUUUUGCUCUAAUCCAAUAACACCAACCAAGCUCUUUGCUUCUUCUUCGUUUUCAUCUUCUUCUUCUUCUUCUUCUUGUACUCUCCCAUUUUGUCAAACCAAAAACCUCAAAUUCAUCAAUCAACAAGCUAAUCUGUAGUCUUUUUUCGUCCUUAAAUUACGUAAACGCUACUUGAACUCCUUCUUUCAAACCAAACUCAUAUCCCCUUCUUUUGCAAUUUCAUCUAACCUACCAUUGACAUCCUCGAUCUUAUGAGCUAAAGGAAAAUAAGAUUGAGAUUGAGAGCUAGUUACCUUUUUCUUUUGAUUAAAGCUAGUUAACUUGACAUAAAGCUCAAUAAUACCCUUCCUAAUAUCAUAGUUGUAACAUCUCUAAUUUUUAAAUAAUUAUUAUAUAUAUAUUAUUCUAAUUUUGAUAUUGUGUACUUCGCGUAUGUACUUUCAUUUUAUGAAAAUUCGAUCGUCGCUCGAAUUUGUAAUUUCAGACCGAGCAGAUAAGCUGCAGGAAUCAUUUCAGAACCGGAUCAAGAUUAUAGGCUAACCCAUUGUUUUCAGACGUUUUGGACGCGUUCCAGUUGUCAGAUUUGGCAUAGGUGAGCCGGGAUAGCCAUCUUCCUCCACCCAGUCGCCACAGUGACUUCGAUUAAGUUUGCUACAGGAGGAUUAUUUGUUGUGGCUAACCUGCUCUUCUUCUUCUUCACAGGUCUAUUGAUAGUGUUUAAUGUAUUUUGUACAAUUGAGUUAAAUUUUUAGACUCCGCAUGUAUUAGAAGCAUUUAUUUUUAUUUUGAGCCUGUAUUAUAAAAGUUAUGUUGGACCUGUAAAAUUAUUAACUGUAUGUAUGAUAGGAUUGGAUGAGGGAGCUGAGCUCCUAUUUGAGUUAUGACAUUUUGAUUAU